GCCUUCGUGGUGUAGUGGGCCAGCACACUGAGCCGGUAUUUCAGAGGUCCGUGGUUCGAUCCCCGGCGAAGGCA
Molecule: transfer RNA, 74 nt
Filed under: Stegodyphus mimosarum
Lineage: Eukaryota; Metazoa; Arthropoda; Arachnida; Araneae; Eresidae
Rfam family: tRNA
About the family: Transfer RNA (tRNA) molecules are approximately 80 nucleotides in length. Their secondary structure includes four short double-helical elements and three loops (D, anti-codon, and T loops). Further hydrogen bonds mediate the characteristic L-shaped molecular structure. tRNAs have two regions of fundamental functional importance: the anti-codon, which is responsible for specific mRNA codon recognition, and the 3' end, to which the tRNAs corresponding amino acid is attached (by aminoacyl-tRNA synthetases). tRNAs cope with the degeneracy of the genetic code in two manners: having more than one tRNA (with a specific anti-codon) for a particular amino acid; and 'wobble' base-pairing, i.e. permitting non-standard base-pairing at the 3rd anti-codon position.
Source: Rfam by way of RNAcentral